This 73-nucleotide transfer RNA is filed under the name Camelus bactrianus (Bactrian camel). It matches the Rfam family "tRNA". From Rfam's summary of the family: Transfer RNA (tRNA) molecules are approximately 80 nucleotides in length. Their secondary structure includes four short double-helical elements and three loops (D, anti-codon, and T loops). RNAcentral also lists the same sequence under 2 other names. The record is from Rfam by way of RNAcentral. Lineage: Eukaryota; Metazoa; Chordata; Mammalia; Artiodactyla; Camelidae.
GAGGGGAUAGCUCAAGUGGUAGAACACAUGCUUAGCAUGCAUGAGGUUCUGGGUUCAGUCCCCAGUACCUCCU